Molecule: ribosomal RNA, 253 nt
Filed under: uncultured bacterium
Lineage: Bacteria
Description: partial 16S ribosomal RNA
Rfam family: Bacterial small subunit ribosomal RNA
Source: RNAcentral
UACAGAGGUGGCAAGCGUUGUUCGGAAUUACUGGGCGUAAAGGGCGCGUAGGCGGUUCGUUAAGUCCUGUGUGAAAUCCCCCGGCUCAACUGGGGAACUGCACAGGAAACUAGCGGGCUUGAGUUCGGGAGAGGGGAGCGGAAUUCCGGGUGUAGCGGUGGAAUGCGUAGAUAUCCGGAGGAACACCGGUGGCGAAGGCGGCUUCCUGGACCGACACUGACGCUGAGGCGCGAAAGCUAGGGGAGCAAACGGG